GUAAGGAAUAUUGGGCAAUGGGCGCAAGCCUGACCCAGCAACGCCGCGUGAGGGAAGAAGGCUUUCGGGUUGUAAACCUCUGUCCUUGGUGACGAAAAAAAUGACGGUAGCCAAGGAGGAAGCCCCGGCUAACUACGUGCCAGCAGCCGCGGUAAUACGUAGGGGGCGAGCGUUGUCCGGAAUUACUGGGCGUAAAGGGUGCGUAGGUGGCCUUUUAAGUUGGAUGUGAAAUACCCGGGCUUAACUUGGGGGGUGCAUCCAAAACUGGGAGGCUAGAGUGCAGGAGAGGAAAGCGGAAUUCCUAGUGUAGCGGUGAAAUGCGUAGAUAUUAGGAGGAACACCAGUGGCGAAGGCGGCUUUCUGGACUGUAACUGACACUGAGGCACGAAAGCGUGGGGAGCAAACAGGAUUAGAUACCCGAGUAGUCC
Molecule: ribosomal RNA, 428 nt
Filed under: uncultured bacterium
Lineage: Bacteria
Description: partial 16S ribosomal RNA
Rfam family: Bacterial small subunit ribosomal RNA
Source: RNAcentral